Molecule: ribosomal RNA, 2901 nt
Filed under: Escherichia coli BCE001_MS16
Lineage: Bacteria; Pseudomonadati; Pseudomonadota; Gammaproteobacteria; Enterobacterales; Enterobacteriaceae
Description: bacterial LSU rRNA
Rfam family: Bacterial large subunit ribosomal RNA
Source: RNAcentral
UAAGCGACUAAGCGUACACGGUGGAUGCCCUGGCAGUCAGAGGCGAUGAAGGACGUGCUAAUCUGCGAUAAGCGUCGGUAAGGUGAUAUGAACCGUUAUAACCGGCGAUUUCCGAAUGGGGAAACCCAGUGUGUUUCGACACACUAUCAUUAACUGAAUCCAUAGGUUAAUGAGGCGAACCGGGGGAACUGAAACAUCUAAGUACCCCGAGGAAAAGAAAUCAACCGAGAUUCCCCCAGUAGCGGCGAGCGAACGGGGAGCAGCCCAGAGCCUGAAUCAGUGUGUGUGUUAGUGGAAGCGUCUGGAAAGGCGCGCGAUACAGGGUGACGGCCCCGUACACAAAAAUGCACAUGCUGUGAGCUCGAUGAGUAGGGCGGGACACGUGGUAUCCUGUCUGAAUAUGGGGGGACCAUCCUCCAAGGCUAAAUACUCCUGACUGACCGAUAGUGAACCAGUACCGUGAGGGAAAGGCGAAAAGAACCCCGGCGAGGGGAGUGAAAAAGAACCUGAAACCGUGUACGUACAAGCAGUGGGAGCACGCUUAGGCGUGUGACUGCGUACCUUUUGUAUAAUGGGUCAGCGACUUAUAUUCUGUAGCAAGGUUAACCGAAUAGGGGAGCCGAAGGGAAACCGAGUCUUAACUGGGCGUUAAGUUGCAGGGUAUAGACCCGAAACCCGGUGAUCUAGCCAUGGGCAGGUUGAAGGUUGGGUAACACUAACUGGAGGACCGAACCGACUAAUGUUGAAAAAUUAGCGGAUGACUUGUGGCUGGGGGUGAAAGGCCAAUCAAACCGGGAGAUAGCUGGUUCUCCCCGAAAGCUAUUUAGGUAGCGCCUCGUGAAUUCAUCUCCGGGGGUAGAGCACUGUUUCGGCAAGGGGGUCAUCCCGACUUACCAACCCGAUGCAAACUACGAAUACCGGAGAAUGUUAUCACGGGAGACACACGGCGGGUGCUAACGUCCGUCGUGAAGAGGGAAACAACCCAGACCGCCAGCUAAGGUCCCAAAGUCAUGGUUAAGUGGGAAACGAUGUGGGAAGGCCCAGACAGCCAGGAUGUUGGCUUAGAAGCAGCCAUCAUUUAAAGAAAGCGUAAUAGCUCACUGGUCGAGUCGGCCUGCGCGGAAGAUGUAACGGGGCUAAACCAUGCACCGAAGCUGCGGCAGCGACGCUGAUGCGUUGUUGGGUAGGGGAGCGUUCUGUAAGCCUGCGAAGGUGUGCUGUGAGGCAUGCUGGAGGUAUCAGAAGUGCGAAUGCUGACAUAAGUAACGAUAAAGCGGGUGAAAAGCCCGCUCGCCGGAAGACCAAGGGUUCCUGUCCAACGUUAAUCGGGGCAGGGUGAGUCGACCCCUAAGGCGAGGCCGAAAGGCGUAGUCGAUGGGAAACAGGUUAAUAUUCCUGUACUUGGUGUUACUGCGAAGGGGGGACGGAGAAGGCUAUGUUGGCCGGGCGACGGUUGUCCCGGUUUAAGCGUGUAGGCUGGUUUUCCAGGCAAAUCCGGAAAAUCAAGGCUGAGGCGUGAUGACGAGGCACUACGGUGCUGAAGCAACAAAUGCCCUGCUUCCAGGAAAAGCCUCUAAGCAUCAGGUAACAUCAAAUCGUACCCCAAACCGACACAGGUGGUCAGGUAGAGAAUACCAAGGCGCUUGAGAGAACUCGGGUGAAGGAACUAGGCAAAAUGGUGCCGUAACUUCGGGAGAAGGCACGCUGAUAUGUAGGUGAAGUCCCUCGCGGAUGGAGCUGAAAUCAGUCGAAGAUACCAGCUGGCUGCAACUGUUUAUUAAAAACACAGCACUGUGCAAACACGAAAGUGGACGUAUACGGUGUGACGCCUGCCCGGUGCCGGAAGGUUAAUUGAUGGGGUUAGCGCAAGCGAAGCUCUUGAUCGAAGCCCCGGUAAACGGCGGCCGUAACUAUAACGGUCCUAAGGUAGCGAAAUUCCUUGUCGGGUAAGUUCCGACCUGCACGAAUGGCGUAAUGAUGGCCAGGCUGUCUCCACCCGAGACUCAGUGAAAUUGAACUCGCUGUGAAGAUGCAGUGUACCCGCGGCAAGACGGAAAGACCCCGUGAACCUUUACUAUAGCUUGACACUGAACAUUGAGCCUUGAUGUGUAGGAUAGGUGGGAGGCUUUGAAGUGUGGACGCCAGUCUGCAUGGAGCCGACCUUGAAAUACCACCCUUUAAUGUUUGAUGUUCUAACGUGGACCCGUAAUCCGGGUUGCGGACAAGUGUCUGGUGGGUAGUUUGACUGGGGCGGUCUCCUCCUAAAGAGUAACGGAGGAGCACGAAGGUUGGCUAAUCCUGGUCGGACAUCAGGAGGUUAGUGCAAUGGCAUAAGCCAGCUUGACUGCGAGCGUGACGGCGCGAGCAGGUGCGAAAGCAGGUCAUAGUGAUCCGGUGGUUCUGAAUGGAAGGGCCAUCGCUCAACGGAUAAAAGGUACUCCGGGGAUAACAGGCUGAUACCGCCCAAGAGUUCAUAUCGACGGCGGUGUUUGGCACCUCGAUGUCGGCUCAUCACAUCCUGGGGCUGAAGUAGGUCCCAAGGGUAUGGCUGUUCGCCAUUUAAAGUGGUACGCGAGCUGGGUUUAGAACGUCGUGAGACAGUUCGGUCCCUAUCUGCCGUGGGCGCUGGAGAAUUGAGGGGGGCUGCUCCUAGUACGAGAGGACCGGAGUGGACGCAUCACUGGUGUUCGGGUUGUCAUGCCAAUGGCACUGCCCGGUAGCUAAAUGCGGAAGAGAUAAGUGCUGAAAGCAUCUAAGCACGAAACUUGCCCCGAGAUGAGUUCUCCCUGACCCUUUAAGGGUCCUGAAGGAACGUUGAAGACGACGACGUUGAUAGGCCGGGUGUGUAAGCGCAGCGAUGCGUUGAGCUAACCGGUACUAAUGAACCGUGAGGCUUAACCU